UACAGAGGGCGCGAGCGUUGUCCGGAAUCACUGGGCGUAAAGGGCGCGUAGGUGGCCACCAUAAGGCCGCGGUGAAAGCUUGGGGCUCAACCCCAGGUCGGCCGCGGCGACUGUGGGGCUCGGGCACCGUAGAGGCAGAUGGAAUUCCGGGUGUAGCGGUGGAAUGCGUAGAGAUCCGGAAGAACACCAGUGGCGAAGGCGGUCUGCUGGGCGGUGGGACUGGAAAGUCCUUGUGAGCCGACACUGAGGCGCGACAGCGUGGGGAGCAAACAGG
RNAcentral lists this ribosomal RNA (274 nucleotides) under uncultured bacterium. Its description in RNAcentral is "partial 16S ribosomal RNA". It matches the Rfam family "Bacterial small subunit ribosomal RNA", at positions 524 to 776 of the family's 1533-position model. The record is from RNAcentral.